AGGGCAGGUCGGGCGGUCGCCGCCGCGGCCCUUCGGGGUCUCGCGGGGGAGGAAAGUCCGAACACCACAGGGCAGCGAGCCGGCUAACGGCCGGGCGCCGGGCGGCUUGAAGUCUGCGAGAGCAGGCACGCCGAGCCGCCGGGCGACGACAAGUGCAACAGAGAACAGACCAGCCAGCGGGCCGGCCCCUCCGGGGGUCGCGCAGCGGGUGAUGGGUGAAACGGUGCGGCCCCUCGGGGCUUAAAGUAAGAGCGCACCAGCAUGCCUGGCGACAGGCAUGGCUAGGCAAACUCCUCGCGGUGCAAGACCAAAUAGGGAGGUCGUCACACAGGGCGGCUCGUCCGAAGUCGCGUCCCCUCCGGGGGGCGCGGCUACGCCUCCGGGUAGGUCGCUUGAGCCGUUCGGCAACGGACGGCCUAGAGGAAUGAUCGCCGCCCCGGGCCUUUGCGCGGACUCGGGGAGACAGAAUUCGGCUUACAGACCUGCCCUCAAC
This 493-nucleotide RNase P RNA is filed under the name Acidobacteriota bacterium. Its description in RNAcentral is "RNase P RNA component class A". It matches the Rfam family "Bacterial RNase P class A". Rfam says of the family: Ribonuclease P (RNase P) is a ubiquitous endoribonuclease, found in archaea, bacteria and eukarya as well as chloroplasts and mitochondria. Lineage: Bacteria; Pseudomonadati; Acidobacteriota. The record is from RNAcentral.